AUAACUGCUCAGUUGCAGUCACCUCAGGACCAACUUCCCUCUGGUAUAGUUUAUUUGCUUCUUAUGUAACCUAAGCCUGUCUUCAGGUACAGUUCUGUAAACCUGAAUGAAUCUGAGAGUAAAAUAGUUUUAUAUUAACAUGAAUCAGAUCCGUGUGUGUAUUUUUUAAGAGGGAUUCAAAGGGAUUUUUAACCAGGAAGGCAUCUUUAUUAGUAGAACUCAGACGAGUCAGCAACAAGCUGAUUGCUGCACAAACUUAUAAAGGGGAUUGUUUAACUCUGCUAAAGUAAACCUUCCCACACAAAUUCCCCCCUUUUUUGCUGAAGAGGAGAUGGACAUUUUGCAGUUUGGAAAUGUGUGGGGGUGAACAAAUGAUUAAGGGGAAGAUGUGUAAACACCUCACAAGCAAAUCGGGAUGAAUGUAGGACAACUGCCCAUUGUCUUGUAACCGCUCUGUAAACAAAUGAGAACAAAUGCUCAGGGAAGACCAGAAACAGUCAAACCACCAUGUCAGCUUUGUCCAAGUCAAUCAGGAUGGAUGCUUGAUAAAAAGGUCAUCUUGAGGAGCCUCAAAUGUUCCUUUGUCUUGACCUUAACAGGAGGCUUACAGUGAUAAAGUGUGAGAAACUCUGGCAACACUGUAAACAUGAUGUGGUUUAUAAUAAAAAGCCAAAGAAAGCAAGGAAAAAGGAAAAAGAAAAGAGAGCAACGUCUCCUGGGACACAGCGUCAAUGUAGGUCACCGCUGUGUUGAUGGUGUUGGAGGAGAGAUUACACAAUUUAGCAAAAUUUGCAGGCAGCACUUUUCAGGAGAAAGAAUACGGGAAACAUUUCCAAUAUACCCAGCACUGAAUCCUGCCGGAAUAUUUGUGAGCAGGUGUAUUGGGUAUGCCAGGGCUCAGCACGAAAACAUCAUUCCUGUUUGUUGAUUAAGGUGCUAAAUUGUCUAAAGCUGUCUCUGCUGUCAUCUCUUAGAGCAGGGAUCUCAACUUGUCGUGAGGAGGGACCCACUUGGAACUUCAACCUGUGGUAGGAAACUCAGUUCCAAGAGACUGUAGUGAGGGCCAAGCAGUAAAGGAGAGAAGGCAUGGGAGAGGAGACCAGUGAUAAAGAGGUGGAGCCUAUACACUCAAUUGGAGCUAAGGACCGAAGAGGCCAUGGACCCAGUUGUGGAGAUUUCAACAAACCAUCUAAUUGGAGGGUCUUUUAUUAUGAUGAUCUCAGCUCAGCUGGUACCUGCAUUGGAUGUGAAAUUAUUUUUAUACAGUGGUACCUCAGGUUAAGAACUUAAUUUGUUCUGGAGGUCCUGAAGCGUCUGUAACCCGAGGUACCAAUCUAUAUGUAAUCAUUUUCCAUUGUUUUUAUAUCUGCAAUAUUUCUAUAUGUUUUUGCUGCAUUGAGAAAUUACGUUGAGAUGCUUCAUAGGAAACGAUUCACAAAUGAAAACAACAACACUGGCAACAAUAUUGUAGUCCAGGCAUAGGCAAAUUCAGCCCUCCAGAUGUUUUGGGACUACAACUCCCAUCAUCCCUGAC
Molecule: non-coding RNA, 1534 nt
Organism: Podarcis lilfordi (Lilford's wall lizard)
Lineage: Eukaryota; Metazoa; Chordata; Lepidosauria; Squamata; Lacertidae
Source: the annotation of a GenBank genome assembly